RNAcentral lists this ribosomal RNA (468 nucleotides) under uncultured bacterium. Its description in RNAcentral is "partial 16S ribosomal RNA". It matches the Rfam family "Bacterial small subunit ribosomal RNA", at positions 28 to 507 of the family's 1533-position model. The record is from RNAcentral.
GACGAACGCUGGCGGCGCGCCUAACACAUGCAAGUCGAACGGAGCUGAGAGAAGCUUGCUUUUCUUAGCUUAGUGGCGAACGGGUGAGUAACGCGUGAGUAACCUGCCCUGGAGUGGGGGACAACAGUUGGAAACGACUGCUAAUACCGCAUAAGCCCACGAUCCGGCAUCGGAUUGAGGGAAAAGGAUUUAUUCGCUUCAGGAUGGACUCGCGUCCAAUUAGCUAGUUGGUGAGGUAACGGCCCACCAAGGCGACGAUUGGUAGCCGGGCUGAGAGGUUGAACGGCCACAUUGGGACUGAGACACGGCCCAGACUCCUACGGGAGGCAGCAGUGGGGGAUAUUGCACAAUGGGGGAAACCCUGAUGCAGCGACGCCGCGUGGAGGAAGAAGGUUUUCGGAUUGUAAACUCCUGUCGUUAGGGACGAUAAUGACGGUACCUAACAAGAAAGCACCGGCUAACUACGUG